UAGUCCACGCCGUAAACGAUGUGUGCUAGAUGUCGGGUCCAUAGGAUUCGGUGUCGCAGCUAACGCACUAAGCACACCGCCUGGGGAGUACGGUCGCAAGAUUAAAACUCAAAGGAAUUGACGGGGGCCUGCACAAGCGGUGGAGCAUGUGGUUUAAUUCGACGCAACGCGCAGAACCUUACCAGCUUUUGACAUCCUGGUCGCGGAUUUGGGAGACCAUUUCCUUCAGUUCGGCUGGACCAGUGACAGGUGCUGCAUGGCUGUCGUCAGCUCGUGUCGUGAGAUGUUGGGUUAAGUCCCGCAACGAGCGCAACCCUCAUCCUUAGUUGCCAGCAUUUAGUUGGGCACUCUAAGGAAACUGCCGGUGAUAAGCCGGAGGAAGGUGGGGAUGACGUCAAGUCCUCAUGGCCCUUACAAGCUGGGCUACACACGUGCUACAAUGGCGAUGACAGUGAGCAGCUAACCCGCGAGGGCAAGCUAAUCUCU
This 486-nucleotide ribosomal RNA is filed under the name uncultured bacterium. RNAcentral describes it as "bacterial SSU rRNA". It matches the Rfam family "Bacterial small subunit ribosomal RNA", at positions 791 to 1276 of the family's 1533-position model. The record is from RNAcentral.